This 777-nucleotide small RNA is filed under the name Dichotomophthora lutea. RNAcentral describes it as "eukaryotic LSU rRNA". It matches the Rfam family "Eukaryotic large subunit ribosomal RNA", at positions 40 to 835 of the family's 3401-position model. The record is from RNAcentral. Lineage: Eukaryota; Fungi; Ascomycota; Dothideomycetes; Pleosporales; Pleosporaceae.
AUAUCAAUAAGCGGAGGAAAAGAAACCAACAGGGAUUGCCCUAGUAACGGCGAGUGAAGCGGCAACAGCUCAAAUUUGAAAUCUGGCUCUUUCAGAGUCCGAGUUGUAAUUUGCAGAGGGCGCUUUGGCUUUGGCAGCGGUCCAAGUUCCUUGGAACAGGACGUCACAGAGGGUGAGAAUCCCGUACGUGGUCGCUAGCUAUUGCCGUGUAAAGCCCCUUCGACGAGUCGAGUUGUUUGGGAAUGCAGCUCUAAAUGGGAGGUAAAUUUCUUCUAAAGCUAAAUAUUGGCCAGAGACCGAUAGCGCACAAGUAGAGUGAUCGAAAGAUGAAAAGCACUUUGGAAAGAGAGUCAAACAGCACGUGAAAUUGUUGAAAGGGAAGCGCUUGCAGCCAGACUUGCUUGCAGUUGCUCAUCCGGGCUUUUGCCCGGUGCACUCUUCUGCAGGCAGGCCAGCAUCAGUUUGGGCGGUGGGAUAAAGGUCUCUGUCACGUACCUCUCUUCGGGGAGGCCUUAUAGGGGAGACGACAUACCACCAGCCUGGACUGAGGUCCGCGCAUCUGCUAGGAUGCUGGCGUAAUGGCUGUAAGCGGCCCGUCUUGAAACACGGACCAAGGAGUCUAACAUCUAUGCGAGUGUUUGGGUGUCAAGCCCGAGCGCGUAAUGAAAGUGAACGGAGGUGGGAACCCGCAAGGGCGCACCAUCGACCGAUCCUGAAGUUUACGGAAGGAUUUGAGUAAGAGCAUGGCUGUUGGGACCCGAAAGAUGGUGAACUAUG